GAUACAGAGAGGGUUAGAGAGGUUCUCCAUAGAUACAGAGGGUUAGAGAGGUUCUCCAUAGAUACAGAGGGUUAGAGAGGUUCUCCAUAGAUAGAGGGUUAGAGGUUCUCCAUAGAUACAGAGGGUUAGAGGUUCUCCAUAGGAUACAGAGGGUUAGAGAGGUUCUCCAUAGAUACAGAGGGUUAGAGAGGUUCUCCAUAGGAUACAGAGGGUUAGAGGUUCUCCAUAGAUACAGAGGGUUAGAGAGGUUCUCCAUAGAUACAGAGGGUUAGAGAGGUUCUCCAUAGGAUACAGAGGGUUAGAGAGGUUCUCCAUAGAUACAGAGGGUUAGAGAGGUUCUCCAUAGAUACAGAGGGUUAGAGAGGUUCUCCAUAGAUACAGAGGGUUAGAGGUUCUCCAUAGGAUACAGAGGGUGAGAG
Molecule: long non-coding RNA, 419 nt
Organism: Oncorhynchus tshawytscha (Chinook salmon)
Lineage: Eukaryota; Metazoa; Chordata; Actinopteri; Salmoniformes; Salmonidae
Source: Ensembl